Non-coding RNA from Pelobates cultripes (western spadefoot toad), 293 nucleotides. Lineage: Eukaryota; Metazoa; Chordata; Amphibia; Anura; Pelobatidae. The record is from the annotation of a GenBank genome assembly.
CUCUAUACAAAAACAUGCUUACAUUGAAACACAAACACUGCUCACAAAUUCAACUCUGCAAGGGUGAGUACAGCUUGUAAAGCAUUGUGGGAGUUGUAUGACAGAUGAGGAUCUAUUUUUACCACCCUUGCACUAGAGGGAACUUAAAUAAUAUAGUCUUGCACCAGGGCCCUCUCUACAAUAGUUCCACCACUGUUAUGUGGCUUCGAGGAAGGCUGUGUUGCCACUACUUCUCUUCUGCCAGGUCUAAAUGCUCUUUGAUCUCCGGGUAUGGUUAAGCUACUAGAGCAGGC